RNAcentral lists this non-coding RNA (227 nucleotides) under Hyphomicrobium sp. ghe19. Lineage: Bacteria; Pseudomonadati; Pseudomonadota; Alphaproteobacteria; Hyphomicrobiales; Hyphomicrobiaceae. The record is from RNAcentral.
UGCUUAUGGCGAUGUGACGGUUCCAUUCGCGUCAAGUCGCGCGGAUGGUGAAAAUGGGAACGCGGUGCGACACCUUUGGUGUCAAUGCCGAGACUGCCCCCGCAACUGUAAGCGGCGAGUCCGCUCCGGUUAUACCACUGACGGCCUCAUUCUGGAGGCCCUCGGGAAGGUCGGAGAAGACGCUUGAGCCGCAAGUCAGGAGACCUGCCAUCACAAGCUGCCCAUCU